AGACAAAGCCAUAUAUGAUUGAAGGUUAUCAGUACUGUGCUUUUGGAGGAUUCAGAAGAAGUUAUAUCUGAUUGGGAGAUUGAAAAGGAUUGGCCUGAAGGAGAGGUGGUUUUUGAACUGCAUCUUAAAGGAUGAGGAAACUGAGGCUGAGAGGGUAGAGAACUUUGCCUGAGGUCACUCAGCAGGGACCCACCCAUCACAGUAAAUGCCAGCACUGCUGAUGCCAAAACAAUGUUAUUUGUAGGCCCUCGGAAUUUGUGACCUGAAGGAAGAAGAGCAGGGCCGUGGGAAGUAUGUAACCAGUGUCAUGCCCCUGGUCCCAAGGAAGCAGUGGCUUGGCCUGAACACCCUGUCCUACCUGGUCCUACCUGGAUGCUGGCCUCAGUAAGCUCCUGGGCUCAUUGAAGAUGAACCUAGCAGUAGUAUUUACACCACUUGUUGUGUGCCCACUGUGGGCCCGGCGCCAUGCCGAGUGCUCUAUGGAUGUGAGAGAAACGGAGGCCCAGAAAGCAGAAAUGAUGUGUUAAGAUCACUCAUCAAGCUGAUGGUACAGAGAUGAGAACACUGAAGCAGUUUUUUCUAAAGAUAGCUGCCUGGCACAGUGGCUCACAUCUGUAGUCCCAGCAUUUGGGGAGGCCAAGGCAGGUGGAUCACUUGAGGCCAGGAAUUCAAGACCAGCAUGGCCAACAUGUUUUCCAUCCUUCCUUCAGUGCUGGGAGAGAAAAGCAUACGACAUAGACAGGGAGGUCAAGCUCCACCACGCAGAUGAGGUGCAGGCCACCAGUCUUCCUCUGCCACAUCUCUUUCUGAAAAGGACUUCACAUUCACCCUUGCAAUCCAUGUGGGGACACUGUUGGAUAGGAGGCGUGGUCCCAGCGUGGUCUCCCUGUCUGGGCCUCUGCCUAUGCCAAAUGUUUGCCUUACGCUGCACACUCAAGAGGUUCCAUGUAUACAGAUGGGAAUUCCAGAGCUACAGAAAAGGCAGCAAGCACCAUGAUUUAAGCUAACCAGUGUGGAUUCACACCUUCCUCUCUCUCUAUCAGUGGCAGAACUACCAGCUAGAGUAAGAAGUGGUUGAUCCAGGACCUAAACAUUCUGGAAACUCUUGCCCACUUCUGGGAGAAAUGACCCAAUCCAUAGUACUAAGCACACCUUAACUUUCGUAGGACGCAGGCAAGUUGUCAUACCGUGUGCCUAAAUAUAGAAAAAUGAUCCACUGGACUAAUAAAGUGUUAAAUAAAA
This 1242-nucleotide long non-coding RNA is filed under the name Homo sapiens (human). RNAcentral describes it as "long intergenic non-protein coding RNA 2395". Lineage: Eukaryota; Metazoa; Chordata; Mammalia; Primates; Hominidae. The record is from RNAcentral.